CAACCCUUAAGCCCUGUUGCUUAGCGUUGGGAGCCUACAGAUACCCUCUGUAGUUCCUUAAAGUUAGUGGCGGAGUCGGUUUCACACUCUAGACGUAGUAAAUUUUAUCUCGCCUAUAGAUGAGCCGGUCCCUUGCCGUAAAACCCCCUAAUUUCUAAA
RNAcentral lists this unclassified non-coding RNA (159 nucleotides) under uncultured Xylariaceae. RNAcentral describes it as "sequence contains ITS2". Lineage: Eukaryota; Fungi; Ascomycota; Sordariomycetes; Xylariales; Xylariaceae. The record is from RNAcentral.